GUAGGGAAUAUUGCGCAAUGGACGAAAGUCUGACGCAGCGACGCCGCAUGAGUGAUGAAGGCCUUAGGGUCGUAAAGCUCUGUUGAAUGGGAAGAAAAAAAUGACGGUACCAUUCGAGGAAGGACCGGCUAACUUCGUGCCAGCAGCCACGGUAAUACGAGGGGUCCUAGCGUUGUUCGGAAUCAUUGGGCGUAAAGGGUGUGUAGGUGGCCAUGUAAGUCAGGUGUGAAAGCCCCGGGCUCAACCCGGGAAGUGCACUUGAUACUGCGUGGCUUGAGUACCGAAGAGGGUAGUGGAAUUCCAGGUGUAGUGGUGAAAUACGUAGAUAUCUGGAGGAACACCGGUGGCGAAGGCGGCUACCUGGUCGAGUACUGACACUGAGACACGAAAGCAUGGGGAUCAAACAGGAUUAGAUACCCUGGUAGUCC
This 428-nucleotide ribosomal RNA is filed under the name uncultured bacterium. RNAcentral describes it as "partial 16S ribosomal RNA". It matches the Rfam family "Bacterial small subunit ribosomal RNA", at positions 354 to 796 of the family's 1533-position model. The record is from RNAcentral.